Long non-coding RNA from Haliotis rubra (blacklip abalone), 224 nucleotides. RefSeq lists it as uncharacterized. The record is from RefSeq and is a predicted model, not a curated record. The transcript is spliced from 3 exons. Lineage: Eukaryota; Metazoa; Mollusca; Gastropoda; Lepetellida; Haliotidae.
CAGGUGUGUCCAAUACUGUCAUCAUGUGUGUACCUGUAGCACUAUAUCCAGGUGUGUCCAAUAUUGUCAUCAUGUGUGUUCCUGUAGCUCUAUAUCCAGGUGUGUCCAAUACUGUCAUCUUGUGUGUUUGCCUGUAGCUCUAUAUCCAGGUGUGUCAAAUACUGUCAUCGAGUGUGUUUGCCUGUAGGUCUAUAUCCAGAUGUACCCAAUACUGUCAUCAUGUG